RNAcentral lists this transfer RNA (85 nucleotides) under Brevundimonas diminuta. RNAcentral describes it as "tRNA-Leu". It matches the Rfam family "tRNA". From Rfam's summary of the family: Transfer RNA (tRNA) molecules are approximately 80 nucleotides in length. Their secondary structure includes four short double-helical elements and three loops (D, anti-codon, and T loops). The record is from RNAcentral. RNAcentral also lists the same sequence under 6 other names. Lineage: Bacteria; Pseudomonadati; Pseudomonadota; Alphaproteobacteria; Caulobacterales; Caulobacteraceae.
GCGAGCGUGGCGGAACUGGUAGACGCAAGCGACUUAAAAUCGCUCGACCUCGGUCGUGCGGGUUCGAUUCCCGCCGCUCGCACCA